Long non-coding RNA from Cyprinus carpio (common carp), 1141 nucleotides. RefSeq lists it as uncharacterized. The record is from RefSeq and is a predicted model, not a curated record. Lineage: Eukaryota; Metazoa; Chordata; Actinopteri; Cypriniformes; Cyprinidae.
CUGUUUGUUCUCCAUGUGUUUGGUGUUGAUACAGAAGAAGUGAAGACAAUAUCAGUGAUGAAGGGAGAUUCGGUCACUCUACACACUGAUGUUACUGAAGUACAGAAAUAUUUGUUCAUACAGUGGAUGUUUGGAAACACUCGAAUAGCUGAAGUCACACAAACCAGCUCAACAUGUGAUGGUCCUGAUGGGAGAUUCAGAGGCAGACAGCUGGAUCAGACUGGAUCUCUGACCAUCACAAACACCAGAACCACAGACUCUGGACUUUAUCAACUAAACAUUUUGAGCCAAGAGACCAGCUAGCUACAUGAGUUUCAAUCUUACAGUCUAUGAUGUGGCACAUGAAAUGAAGUCAGUGUCAGUGAUGAAGGGAGAUUCUGUCACUCUACACACUGAUGUUACUGAAACAGAAAUAUUUGUUGGUACAGUGGAUGUUUGAAAGCACUCGAAUAGCUGAAGUCAACAGACUCAUGCAGACUAGCUCUAAAUAUGAUGGGAGAUUCAAAGACAGACUGCAGCUGGAUCAAACCGGAUCUCUAAUCAUCACAAGCACCAGAACCACAGACUCUGGACUUUAUCAACUAACAAUUGUCAGCAGAGAGACCAGCUUCAUGAAUUAUAAUGUUACUGUCUAUGAAAGAUCGUCAAGCUCAAAUUGUGUGUCGUCCAGCUGUGCAGCUGUGCAGUGAGCCGUUCAGACUGAAGAUACCAGCAUUGCUGAACUCUAUCAGCCGAGUUUAGAUAUACAGCAUGACCUGUUUGUGCUUGAGGACUGGGUAAAUUUGCAUGCAUUUUCUUCGAUGAUUUAACAGGAACAGAGAACGGACAGCAGAUAUGUGACAGAGAAGUGAAGUGUGUUUUCUGGUGUUUGGAUUGCAUUCACUGUUGUGGUUUUACUGAAGCUGUGAUCCGAUUGGCUCUCUCUGCUCUGGUGGCCGUGGCUGCUGUUGCUGUGCUGCUUUAUGACAUCAGGGCCAGUAUUCACAAAACAUUUUAUCUUAGCACUAAGAAUUCUCCUAAAUAGCAGUAAAAGUUUUUAGCUAAGAGUUUUCUUUUAAAGGGAUCAUGUGAUUCGAUUUAAAGUUUUCUAUCUUUGGAGAUAGAACAGAUCCCUAAAGUCUCAAACCCAAAGGGUUUUUAU